GAUGAACGCUGGCGGCGUGCCUAACACAUGCAAGUCGAGCGAUUCUCUUCGGAGAAGAGCGGCGGACGGGUGAGUAACGCGUGGGUAACCUGCCCUGUACACACGGAUAACAUACCGAAAGGUAUGCUAAUACGAGAUAAUAUGCUUUUAUCGCAUGGUAGAAGUAUCAAAGUUUUUGCGGUACAGGAUGGACCCGCGUCUGAUUAGCUAGUUGGUAAGGUAACGGCUUACCAAGGCGACGAUCAGUAGCCGACCUGAGAGGGUGAUCGGCCACAUUGGAACUGAGACACGGUCCAAACUCCUACGGGAGGCAGCAGUGGGGAAUAUUGCACAAUGGGCGAAAGCCUGAUGCAGCAACGCCGCGUGAGCGAUGAAGGCCUUCGGGUCGUAAAGCUCUGUCCUCAAGGAAGAUAAUGACGGUACUUGAGGAGGAAACCCCGGCUAACUACGUG
Molecule: ribosomal RNA, 452 nt
Filed under: uncultured bacterium
Lineage: Bacteria
Description: bacterial SSU rRNA
Rfam family: Bacterial small subunit ribosomal RNA
Source: RNAcentral